AGGGUAGAGAUCCCCUGGUUCAAUCCCCAGUGCCACCUCCCCCACUGCACACACUCCCUGUCUCUUGUCAUUUCAUACCCCAUGCAGCAUGGAGACUCUGCCAGCAAAAGGCCAUCACCAACAUGUGGCCCUUCCACCUUGGACAUCUGGUCCUGUGAGCCAAAUUAAACCUCUUUUCUGAGGACAUGGAGGUGGACACCUGUAAUCCCAGCCGGAUGUGGCUCACUGGUAAAGCACCUCCAAGAUCAAUUCCUGGUACAAAAACAAACCCUCUUUUCUUUAUUGCUUCCCAGUCUAUGGUAUUGUAUGAAGAGCAACAGAAACGGAACUAGUGCCUCUGCACCAGGAUGAGGAGUGUGUUCUCCAGAUCACAUUUUUACAGCUAUAUGGUUUUCCAGCUCAGGAGUAGACUGUGAGUCACAGAGGCACGUCUGGGGGCGGGGGGGUGCAGCAAGUCAUGCUGUCAGUGCUGUUCCACACAUGCCUGAGAGACUUCUAGCAAGAUGUAAGGGGGGCCCUGUACCGCUGUGCAGGCCUGUAAUCCCAGCAGCUCAGGAGGCUGAGGCCGGAGGAUCACAAGUUCAAAGCCAGCCUCAGCAAUUUAGCAAAGUCCUAAGCAACUUAGUGAGACCCUGUUUCAAGACAAAAUAUAAAAAGGGCUGGGAAUGUGGGUUGGUGGUUAAGUGCCCCUGGGCUCAAUCCCUGGUAUCAAAAAAAAAAGGGUGAACGCGACAAAUCCUUCCCGAACUCCCCCACCCCAAAGCCUGAGCCUCUGCACCCCUUCCCAGAGGCCUCUUCUGCUGCCAGAAGUGUCCUAGGGAGCUGGCCACUCAAAGGGCCUUGGAGUCCUUGAGUGGACAGGGCCUUGUGAAGAGCCUUCCAGGAAUCGGGAGCAACGCUGGGUCUCCCCACGUGCCCCGCUCUGUGCUGGGAGAGCAGGUGAGCAGGGCUCAGCGCUGAUGGAGGGGACAGGACGAAGACCCUCACCCAGUGUCUCCCACUCCUGCUGGGGGAAGCUGCUUCCUCUGAGGGGCUGGGGGCUGCCCCUGCCCGCUGGCCUCUCC
This 1064-nucleotide long non-coding RNA is filed under the name Marmota monax (woodchuck). The record is from RNAcentral. Lineage: Eukaryota; Metazoa; Chordata; Mammalia; Rodentia; Sciuridae.